GAUCCUGGCUCAGGAUAAACGCUGGCGGCGCACAUAAGACAUGCAAGUCGAACGGACUUAACUCAUUCUUUUAGAUUGAGAGCGGUUAGUGGCGGACUGGUGAGUAACACGUAAGCAACCUGCCUAUCAGAGGGGAAUAACAACGAGAAAUCGUUGCUAAUACCGCAUAAGCUAGUAGCAUCGCAUGAUGUAGCUAGAAAAGGAGCAAUCCGCUGAUAGAUGGGCUUGCGUCUGAUUAGAUAGUUGGUGAGGUAACGGCCCACCAAGUCGACGAUUGGUAGCCGGACUGAGAGGUUGAACGGCCACAUUGGAACUGAGAAACGGUCCAGACUCCUACGGGAGGCAGCAGUGGGGAAUAUUGGGCAAUGGGCGAAAGCCUGACCCAGCGACGCCGCGUGAGGGAAGAAGGUCUUCGGAUUGUAAACCUUAGUUAGCAGGGAAGAAGAAAGUGACGGUACCUGCAGAGAAAGCCACGGCUAACUACGUG
Molecule: ribosomal RNA, 487 nt
Filed under: uncultured bacterium
Lineage: Bacteria
Description: bacterial SSU rRNA
Rfam family: Bacterial small subunit ribosomal RNA
Source: RNAcentral